GGAACUCAUCACAUCUCCUCGCUGCUAUCCUAAAAACGCAGCCAGAAAUCAGAAGCUGUAUGUCACCUCUGCCCAGAAAUUGUCACACCACUUCAUAUUUACUUUUUAAGAGAGGAACCUCAGGCAUCUCAGAUGUGGUACCCUCCAAACUGACAAUAAAUCAGUCAUUCUCUGUUAUAGGCACUGCUUUAUAUCAAAGAAAUUGCUAAUAAUAUCAACUCCUUAGCUUUUAUUCCUUUGCUUUUCUCUCUUUUUUAGUUCUAAUCGCCAGUCUAAAGUCUCUGCCUGGAUUCCCUGAUCCAACCUGGCUGGAAAUUUCAGGUGCUGCUGAAACCACCCAGUUUGUCCCAGUGAAUACAGGGCAUGUUCCUGGGACUACUGCAAAGAGCAAAACAGGGCAACGCUGUGGGCACAUGGAGGAAGAAAAAUCCUGGAAAAAAUUAUGGCAACGAUCAAAUCCUCUGGUACUCAUUAAAAGGCAUAUCAAGUUCAAAAGAAAAUGUUGCCUCUCACUAAUGAGAAGAUUAAUCGCAUUCGCAUAUGCGGCAGACUUUGUCAAUUCUGUUGAAAGUUUGAUGACCUUUAAGAGACAAAGUUUUAGUAUGCCCAAAAUAAAUAAUUCAUCCUUCACAGAUUUGCCCUCUGUAUCCAUCUGCUU
Molecule: long non-coding RNA, 658 nt
Filed under: Calidris pugnax (ruff)
Lineage: Eukaryota; Metazoa; Chordata; Aves; Charadriiformes; Scolopacidae
Description: lncRNA (ENSCPUG00000003736.1)
Source: RNAcentral